GACGAACGCUGGCGGCGUGCUUAACACAUGCAAGUCGAACGAAAAUACCAAGCUUGCUUGGUUGAUUAGUGGCGAACGGGUGAGUAACACGUGAGUAACCUGCCCCUUACUUUCCUGGAUAACUGCUCGAAAGGGUAGCUAAUACGGGAUAUUCUGACCAGCCUGCAUGGGUUGGUUUGGAAAGGUUGUUUUUCUGGUAAGGGAUGGGCUCGCGGCCUAUCAGCUUGUUGGUGGGGUGAUGGCCUACCAAGGCUUUGACGGGUAGCCGGCCGGAGAGGGUGGACGGUCAGACUGGGACGAAGAUACGGCCCAGACGGCUAGGGGAGGGAGCAGUGGGGAAUAUUGCACAAGGAGCGCGAGCCUGAUGAAGCGACGCGGCGUGAGGGAUGAAGGCCUUCGGGUUGUAAACCUAUUUCGUAAGGGAACAAGGCACUGCUUUUUUGGUGGUGUUGAGGGUACCUGGAUAAGAAGCGCCGGCUAACUACGUG
This 488-nucleotide ribosomal RNA is filed under the name uncultured bacterium. Its description in RNAcentral is "partial 16S ribosomal RNA". It matches the Rfam family "Bacterial small subunit ribosomal RNA", at positions 28 to 507 of the family's 1533-position model. The record is from RNAcentral.